RNAcentral lists this ribosomal RNA (546 nucleotides) under uncultured bacterium. RNAcentral's name for it is "bacterial SSU rRNA". It matches the Rfam family "Bacterial small subunit ribosomal RNA", at positions 777 to 1322 of the family's 1533-position model. The record is from RNAcentral.
AAUAGAUACCCGGGUAGUCCAUGCCGUAAACGUUGGGAACUAGAUGUAGGGCCUGUUCCACGGGUUCUGUGUCGUAGCUAACGCAUUAAGUUCCCCGCCUGGGGAGUACGGCCGCAAGGCUAAAACUCAAAGGAAUUGACGGGGGCCCGCACAAGCGGCGGAGCAUGCGGAUUAAUUCGAUGCAACGCGAAGAACCUUACCAAGGCUUGACAUAUAGCAGAACGCUCUAGAAAUAGAGAACUCUUUGGACACUGUUAUACAGGUGGUGCAUGGUUGUCGUCAGCUCGUGUCGUGAGAUGUUCGGUUAAGUCCGGCAACGAGCGCAACCCUCGUCCUAUGUUACCAGCGGUUCGGCCGGGAACUCAUGGGAUACUGCCGUGGUCAACACGGAGGAAGGUGGGGAUGACGUCAAAUCAUCAUGCCCCUUAUGUCUUGGGCUUCACGCAUGCUACAAUGGCCGGUACAAAGGGCGGCGAUACCGUAAGGUGGAGCGAAUCCCAAAAAGCCGGUUUCAGUUCGGAUUGGGGUCUGCAACUCGACCCCAUG